CUAAUAUCGAUACUGUAAUCCCUGGAAUAUUUGUUACAUAAAUAUUAAUCACAUAUAAAAUAUCUUCAAUAAUCAACUACCAUUACCGUGAUAAUGACUGCCAAUGAGUCUGCCACCGUGAUGUACUCUAAGAUGUCGAUGAAGAUUCGUUGUACCGCAUUGACGUGGAUUCGCU
This is a long non-coding RNA of Apis dorsata (giant honeybee), 175 nucleotides long. RefSeq lists it as uncharacterized. The transcript is spliced from 2 exons. The record is from RefSeq and is a predicted model, not a curated record. Lineage: Eukaryota; Metazoa; Arthropoda; Insecta; Hymenoptera; Apidae.